AGGAUGAACGCUAGCUACAGGCUUAACACAUGCAAGUCGAGGGGCAGCAUGGGCGUCGCUUGCGGCGCCUGAUGGCGACCGGCGCACGGGUGAGUAACGCGUAUCCAACCUGCCCCGAACCGCGGUAUAGCCCGCCGAAAGGCGGAUUAAUCCCGCAUGAGGUCGUGAGACGGCAUCAGACCACGACCAAAGGUUUGUCCGGUUCGGGAUGGGGAUGCGUCCGAUUAGGCAGCAGGCGGGGUAACGGCCCACCUGGCCACCGAUCGGUAGGGGUUCUGAGAGGAAGGUCCCCCACAUUGGAACUGAGACACGGUCCAAACUCCUACGGGAGGCAGCAGUGAGGAAUAUUGGUCAAUGGGCGGUAGCCUGAACCAGCCCAAGUAGCGUGUGGGACGACGGCCCUACGGGUUGUAAACCACUUUUUCGCGGGGAUAACAUCCGGGACUUGUCCCGGCUUGCAGGUACCGCGUGAAUAAGGACCGGCUAAUUCCGUGCCAGCCGCUGC
Molecule: ribosomal RNA, 505 nt
Filed under: uncultured bacterium
Lineage: Bacteria
Description: bacterial SSU rRNA
Rfam family: Bacterial small subunit ribosomal RNA
Source: RNAcentral